RNAcentral lists this long non-coding RNA (323 nucleotides) under Gorilla gorilla gorilla (western lowland gorilla). RNAcentral's name for it is "lncRNA (ENSGGOG00000044615.1)". Lineage: Eukaryota; Metazoa; Chordata; Mammalia; Primates; Hominidae. The record is from RNAcentral.
CGCAGGGCCCGUGGGUGGGGCCUGGGGACCCGGCCCUGCCCUCGCGCACCCUCCAGACCCGCCACUUCUUAGCUAGCGAGCGGCCGCCUCCCCGCCCUCCUUUCAGCCACUCGCUCCGCGCAGUCAGCUCUGCUGACUCUUCCGGAGGAUUCUGGAAGGUUCCAGAGGGUGUGCCGCCGAGGCCCUGCGAGAGGGCUUUCCCUGGGGAGAACAUUCCAGAGCAAGCCAGGCCUGGCCGCCCACCAGAGCGCAGCAGCUGCUGGCUCCCUUGCCUCUGUGAGAGGCCGGCUCUCCGCACCCACCUGGGGCUGUCAGUGCCCUGA